RNAcentral lists this ribosomal RNA (440 nucleotides) under uncultured bacterium. RNAcentral's name for it is "partial 16S ribosomal RNA". It matches the Rfam family "Bacterial small subunit ribosomal RNA", at positions 339 to 795 of the family's 1533-position model. The record is from RNAcentral.
CUACGGGGGGCACCAGUGGGGAAUAUUGCACAAUGGGCGCAAGCCUGAUGCAGCGACGCCGCGUGAGCGAAGAAGGUUCUCGGAUCGUAAAGCUCUGUCCUUUGGGAAGAAAAAAUGACGGUACCAAAGGAGGAAGCCCCGGCUAACUACGUGCCAGCAGCCGCGGUAAUACGUAGGGGGCGAGCGUUGUCCGGAAUCACUGGGCGUAAAGGGUGAGUAGGCGGUAACGUGUGUCAGAUGUGAAAGGCGAGGGCUCAACCCUCGUAAGCAUUUGAAACUGCGUAACUUGAGUGCAGGAGAGGUAAGCGGAAUUCCUAGUGUAGCGGUGAAAUGCGUAGAUAUUAGGAGGAACACCAGUGGCGAAGGCGGCUUACUGGACUGUAACUGACGCUGAGACACGAAAGCGUGGGGAGCGAACAGGAUUAGAUACCCUUGUAGUC